CCUACGGGUGGCUGCAGUGGGGAAUAUUGGACAAUGGGGGCAACCCUGAUCCAGCCAUGCCGCGUGUGUGAAGAAGGCCCUCGGGUUGUAAAGCACUUUCAGUGAGGAAGAACGCCUGGUGGUUAAUACCCAUCAGGAAAGACAUCACUCACAGAAGAAGCACCGGCUAACUCCGUGCCAGCAGCCGCGGUAAUACGGAGGGUGCGAGCGUUAAUCGGAAUUACUGGGCGUAAAGCGCGCGUAGGUGGCUUGAUAAGCCGGUUGUGAAAGCCCCGGGCUCAACCUGGGAACGGCAUCCGGAACUGUCAAGCUAGAGUGCAGGAGAGGAAGGUAGAAUUCCCGGUGUAGCGGUGAAAUGCGUAGAGAUCCGGAGGAAUACCAGUGGCGAAGGCGGCCUUCUGGACUGACACUGACACUGAGGUGCGAAAGCGUGGGUAGCAAACAGGAUUAGAUACCCUAGUAGUC
RNAcentral lists this ribosomal RNA (465 nucleotides) under Vreelandella stevensii. RNAcentral describes it as "partial 16S ribosomal RNA". It matches the Rfam family "Bacterial small subunit ribosomal RNA", at positions 338 to 795 of the family's 1533-position model. Lineage: Bacteria; Pseudomonadati; Pseudomonadota; Gammaproteobacteria; Oceanospirillales; Halomonadaceae. The record is from RNAcentral.